GGAUAGAUCAAGGUUAACAUUUUGGUUUGUUGGAAGACAACAAAUUUUAUUGCGAAACUCAUACAUAUAUACUCCCUUCGUUCCUAAAUACUGUAUAAGUCUUUGUAGAGAUUCCACUAUGGACUACAUACGGAGCAAAAUGAGUGAAUCUACACUUUAAAAUGCAUCUAUAUACAUCCGUAUGUGGUUCAUAGUAAAAUCUCUACAAAGACUUAUAUUUAGGAACAGAGGGAGUAAAUCGCUUAAGAACCUGUUUGGAGCAAAUAAUUACAUCAAAUUUCAAAUUAUUUGGAAGUAGGACAACCUAUUACGCAUGCCAGCAUGUCCCCGACGUUGCGCCCUGCCCAUAACAGGUGCCGCGCCUCGCGGUUGUGGCGGAACGGCACAACGUCGUUGCCGUACCGACUGAGCAGGUCGUGCCGCUGCUCGGCGAGGAUGCCCGGCUAGUACGUACUGUUGACCGCGUACUCCGACAGCAUCCUCACCUCCGGCGGCAUGUGGGCUCGGAACGUGGCAAUGGUCUGCCGCAUGGCGGGAGUGCGGACGUCAGGGAUUGGCGCCACCGGAAUGCCUCCUAGGCUACGGUUCCAGCCCUUCGUCAGCCGUAUGUCUGGUGGCACCAUGAGGCCGAACCGCGCCAGUUCCUCGGCGUCCGUGACGAACAGGCUGCGCGAGGGCCAUCUUCUGUAGCCGGCCUUGUGGUCGUGACACGGCAUCGCAGCGGUGGUGGAGGUGGAGACGGGUGGGUUUUUGGAAGGGAGGCGUCAAACGGCUGUGAUGAUCGACAAUGGGGGAAGUUUUGUGC
Molecule: ribosomal RNA, 805 nt
Filed under: Triticum aestivum (bread wheat)
Lineage: Eukaryota; Viridiplantae; Streptophyta; Magnoliopsida; Poales; Poaceae
Description: partial small subunit ribosomal RNA
Source: RNAcentral